AUUGUCGUCUUACCAGACAAGUUUAGAUCUAGCUACUCUGUCUAAUACUGUCUGGUAAUGCCGUCCAU
Molecule: non-coding RNA, 68 nt
Organism: Salmo salar (Atlantic salmon)
Lineage: Eukaryota; Metazoa; Chordata; Actinopteri; Salmoniformes; Salmonidae
Source: Rfam